Molecule: ribosomal RNA, 222 nt
Filed under: uncultured bacterium
Lineage: Bacteria
Description: partial 16S ribosomal RNA
Rfam family: Bacterial small subunit ribosomal RNA
Source: RNAcentral
UACAGAGGGUGCAAGCGUUAAUCGGAAUUACUGGGCGUAAAGCGUGCGUAGUCGGUUAUCUAAGUCGGGUGUGAAAUCCCCGGGCUCAACCUUGGAACUGCAUUUGUGACUGCAUAGCUAGAGUACGGUAGAGGGGAUGGAAUUCCGCGUGUAGGCAGUGAAAUGCGUAGAUAUGCGGAGGAACACCGAUGGCGAAGGGCAGCUCGCUGGGACGGUACUGAC